Molecule: unclassified non-coding RNA, 271 nt
Filed under: Hevea brasiliensis (rubber tree)
Lineage: Eukaryota; Viridiplantae; Streptophyta; Magnoliopsida; Malpighiales; Euphorbiaceae
Source: RNAcentral
CCUCGCCAAGGCGGUUUUUGUUGGAGAAACUUCCAGUUGCUUUGGCUAGUUCUUCAUAGGUGUACGUUGGAACACCUUCCACUGCACUGUCAUUAGCUGCUUGUAUUGGAAUUGGUCUUUCCUCUGCUCCGGGUUGGCGAUUAGCGUCUCCCCUCCCUUUUGCACAACCCGCAAAAGUAAGAUCCAGGCAUGGCUGCCCACCAGGUUUCUUGCUUGUGUGCUGUAAAACCACUUGCUUAUUAGGAUGUGAGAGAGAGAGAGAGAGAGAGAG